UAAGCCGCGGGCCAGUCUCCAGGGGGUAAACUCAGCCCAGCUCAGGAACCCUUCAAAGACACCACAGUUGGGGCUGCUUCUCCUUGCUUGCUGAUAACCUGAAACCCAGGGAGGAGGUGGGUCUGUGGUGUCCCAGGAUGCUGGACUCCUCAGUGGCAGAUGCGAUGACCCGACUGACCCUGAAACUCUUGGAGAAGAAACUGGAGCAAGAGUGUGACGAUGUGGAAGGGAAUUCUGAAGACCCCCACCUCAUACCAGGAAACAAGGACAGGCUGGAUGCAGCCCUGCUGGGUGCUCUGAGGAGGAGGCAAGAUCUUCUGCAGAGACUCUGGGAACAGCAUGUCCUAGAGGAGGGCUCCCAGGCCCGAGCACGGAGCAGCGUGAACAGAGGAGAGGCCCGUGGGCCAGCGCUGCCCCCAGAGGUGCCCCCCAUGGGCAUCUACCCUGCCACCUCCCUGCCCCCGCCAGCCCUGGAGCCACCACGGAUUAUCCAACACUCAGCCCCCCAGCCUCCUGCCACCAUCAUUCAACAGCUACCUCAGCAGCCCCUCAUCACACAGAUUCCCCCUCUCCAGGCCUUCCCCACUCAAAGAGCAGGAAGUAUUAAGGAAGACAUGGUGGAGAUGAUGCUGAUGCAGAACGCACAGAUGCACCAGACCAUUAUGCAAAACUUGAUGCUCAAAGCCCUGCCCUCAUCAGCGUUUUUGCCCUCCGGGGGAUCACAGGCCGCCCCCCUGUACGCCACUGCUCAGCCAGAGGCAGAAGCGGCCCUCCGUGCAUCACCACCACCACUACGCGCCCCCAAGUCCCCUGCAGGCCAUCCCAGCACCUGGCUCCCUGGCUGGUUACUGCACAUGGCCCACGGUGGUCUCGGCCACCGCCCUCCCACCUGCCUCCAGCUUCCUGCCAGCCCUGCACCACUUGGCUGGCCCCUCAUCAGCAGCCCUUAGCCCCUUUCCUAGGGUGGCAUCUGAUGGCGUCCAGCCCACGCAGGCUCCGGGCUUGUGAGCCUCCACAUGUGGACUCUGCGCCACACGUUUUCAUCAGCCCCUUUUGGGUAAACCCUCUCGUGCCCUAACUUCCACAGUAGCAAGAGCCCAGUCCUCCUCACUGCUCCCGUGGACCCUGCGGGCUCGCCGCAACGCUGGCCUGGGAAGCGGUGGAAGCAGGUGGCUAAGGAGGUGCCACGCAGCUCAGCUCCCUCGGGCUGGACCCCUGCUCAGGGAGCCUCCGAGGCAGGAGAGCGGCAGGGGUCCACACGGUGUGCCUGGCAUAUGCUUUUGUGAAAUGCAAUUAAAGUUCUGACUCAAUUUCUUAUUUUCACAUUGACAUUUUCUAACAUGGUUCUCCUGUUUGGUUUUAUUUCUCAACAUAAUUGUUAGUUCAAUAUGGGGAAUAAAUUUGGCAGAAGUUGGUUGUCUUGAGAUGGCCUAAUAAAUUGGAAAAACUGUUUUGUCUGCGUCCUGGGUAAGGAAAACCCCGUUUUUCUCUGCGAAUCCCCUUUACUCACAGGCAGAACAGACCCUUCUAUCACUUCUAGUUGCUAAUUCUGACAUCAGCUGGGUGUCCUGCAGCCCCACUCGGUUCUGACACCAUCCACCCAUGUAAGGACUCAGUCCCAUGAGACUCCCCCAUGCCAGCCGCAGAUUCAGGUUGUCCCCUGUGCUUCUGACCUACUAGGUCAGGGAGCAGAGGUUCCCAUGACCCCCUUUUCAGGUUUGAUUAGUUUGUUAGGGCGGCUCACAGAACUCGGGCAACACUUACUGACAUUAACCAGUCUAUUUAAGGGGGUGAUAAGGGAUGGAGUGGGUCUGGGAGGGUCGCGAGCACAGGAGCUUCUGUCCCGUGGGGUGCGUCACCCUCACCGUGUGGACGUCUGCACCCACCCGGAAACUCUCUGAACCCUGUGCUAUUGGGACUUAUGGGAGCUUCCUCACGUAGGCCUGAGGUAGAUUAACUGCAUUUCUGAAUACACACAGGAGUGUAGAGGGCCAAGGAGCCCAAGGGACCCCUGGAGCAGGAGGAGGGACCAAUCCUGGCAGAGGCUGGGUUUGCAGAAGCUCUGGAACCGGGGCAUGGUAGCCAGGUCGGGGCGGACAGAAGUGACAGGUGGAAUCAAAUAGCCAAGGCAGAGCUCCAUGGCUGGGUGGGGAGGACUUUUCUUAGAUAUAGGUCACACUGGCCAAUGUGCUCUGUUGUGUUCAAUGAUAUGUAAGAACCCCUCUGAAUCCAUAAAAAAGAAAAAUCAAUAGAAAAACGAGAAUGAGGGACGCCUGGGUGGCUCAGUCGGUUAUAUGGCCAGCUUUUGAUUUUGGCUCAGGUCAUGAUCUCAGGGUGACGAGACUGAGGCCAUGUCAUCCGCUGUCGGUUGGGCUCCCUGCUCAGUGGGGAGUCAGCUUGGGAUUCUCUUUCUCUCUCUCUCUGUUCCUCCACCCCCCCCAAUAAAUCUUAAAAAAAAAAAAAGAAAAAUGAGCAUAAGACAAGCAGUUACAGUGGAGGGGAAGCCAAUGGUGAUGAGAAAUACAGGACAGCCUCAGUGCAUAUGUGACCAAGGGAGGGGUCAGGGUGCAUGGAGGUUGGGGUCUGGACCCCAGGGUCACUGCUAUGGGCUGCAGGGGGGGACAAGUAACCAGGUCCUUUGGAAGCACUGGGCAUUGCCUGAUAAAGCUGGAUACUCCACCCCUAGCCCCCCAGCCAUUUUGCUCUGAGGCCCAUACCCAGGGAGAACUCUGUGCCCCCGACAUGACCAGAGAGGCAUGGGGGAAUGUCCGGAAUUCCUGCUGACAGGAGUAGCGGGUCUUGGGAUCCCUUCAGUCUCUUAUUUUAUUUUUUUA
Molecule: RNA transcript, 2834 nt
Organism: Zalophus californianus (California sea lion)
Lineage: Eukaryota; Metazoa; Chordata; Mammalia; Carnivora; Otariidae
Gene: C1H21orf58
Gene name: chromosome 1 C21orf58 homolog
Exons: 9
Source: RefSeq, a predicted model, not a curated record